AGCCAAUGAUGAGAAAUUAAUGUCAUGCACCACUCUGAGAUUAACCGUGCUGAUUAUGACCAUCACCAUUGAUUUCUGAGGCU
This is a small nucleolar RNA of Cryptomeria japonica (Japanese cedar), 83 nucleotides long. RefSeq annotates it as small nucleolar RNA Z221/R21b. The record is from RefSeq and is a predicted model, not a curated record. NCBI's taxonomy places the organism in Eukaryota, Viridiplantae, Streptophyta, Pinopsida, Cupressales, Cupressaceae. The transcript has a single exon.